CCCUUAGAUGUUCUGGGCAGCACGCGCGCUACAAUGGUCUUCGCAAACGGAUGCAUUCUCGAAGGAGAAUGCCAAUCUUGGAAUCUAUGCCUUGGUCGGGACAGUUGCUUGCAAUUUUUCGACUCGAACCAGGAAUUCCUUGUAAUCGUGAUUCAUCACAUCACGAUGAAUACGUCCCUGCCCUUUGUACACACCGCCCGUCGCUCCUACCGAUCGAAGAGUUAGGGGAAUUGUUUUGAUCGAUAAGAUUUGACUAUGGUCAACUCUCGUUGUGAAAUUCUGUGAAUCUGACUGUUUAGAGGAAGGAAAAGUCGUAACA
This 319-nucleotide ribosomal RNA is filed under the name uncultured eukaryote. RNAcentral describes it as "partial 18S ribosomal RNA". It matches the Rfam family "Eukaryotic small subunit ribosomal RNA", at positions 1470 to 1796 of the family's 1831-position model. The record is from RNAcentral.